GAUGAACGCUGGCGGCGUGCUUAACACAUGCAAGUCGAACGGAAAGGCCCAAGCUUGCUUGGGUACUCGAGUGGCGAACGGGUGAGUAACACGUGGGUGAUCUGCCCUGCACUUCGGGAUAAGCCUGGGAAACUGGGUCUAAUACCGGAUAGGACCACAUUUUGGAUGGUGUGGUGGAAAGUUUUUCGGUGUGGGUUGAGCUCGCGGCCUAUCAGCCUGUUGGUGGGGUAAUGGCCUACCAAGGCGUCGACGGGUAGCCGGCCUGAGAGGGUGUACGGCCACAUUGGGACUGAGAUACGGCCCAGACUCCUACGGGAGGCAGCAGUGGGGAAUAUUGCACAAUGGGCGCAAGCCUGAUGCAGCGACGCCGCGUGGGGGAUGACGGCCUUCGGGUUGUAAACUCCUUUCGCUAGGGACGAAGCGCAAGUGACGGUACCUGGAGAAGAAGCACCGGCUAACUACGUG
This 465-nucleotide ribosomal RNA is filed under the name uncultured bacterium. RNAcentral describes it as "partial 16S ribosomal RNA". It matches the Rfam family "Bacterial small subunit ribosomal RNA", at positions 28 to 507 of the family's 1533-position model. The record is from RNAcentral.